UUAUGAGACAUGAAUUUAUUUUAUAUUUAUUUCUAUAUUGUUUGUUUGUUAGUUGUUAGUUAUAAAUUUAUUAGGCAAGAGAUUUUUUUUGAAUUCUAUAGAAAAUUAUAAUUUUUAAAUUUUUCUCUUGAGGGUAGUUUAGGAAAUGAGGACUUUUGUAAAUUUCAAUUCUGAAAUUAUAUCAAAAAUAAAUUAUAUGGAAUACAAUUGAAUUCUACAUUUUAAGUUGUAUCAUAUCAAAUAAUGAAAUUCAUUUUAAAUGAAUUCUAAAGUUUGUAAUAGAAUUGAAUUAAACAAUAUGCUAUAGGAUUCUAUUAGGUUUAGUAUUUUAU
RNAcentral lists this unclassified non-coding RNA (332 nucleotides) under Hevea brasiliensis (rubber tree). Lineage: Eukaryota; Viridiplantae; Streptophyta; Magnoliopsida; Malpighiales; Euphorbiaceae. The record is from RNAcentral.